Molecule: ribosomal RNA, 229 nt
Filed under: uncultured bacterium
Lineage: Bacteria
Description: partial 16S ribosomal RNA
Rfam family: Bacterial small subunit ribosomal RNA
Source: RNAcentral
CGCGUAGGCGGACCUCCAAGUCAGAUGUGAAAUCUGCCGGCUUAACCGGCAGCCUGCAUUUGAAACUGUGGGUCUUGAGUACAGGAGAGGAAAGCGGAAUUCCAGGUGUAGCGGUGAAAUGCGUAGAUAUCUGGAAGAACACCAGUUGCGAAGGCGGCUUUCUGGACUGAUACUGACGCUAAAGCGCGAAGGCUUGGGUAGCAAACAGGAUUAGAUACCCUGGUAGUCC